This 497-nucleotide ribosomal RNA is filed under the name uncultured bacterium. Its description in RNAcentral is "bacterial SSU rRNA". It matches the Rfam family "Bacterial small subunit ribosomal RNA", at positions 31 to 518 of the family's 1533-position model. The record is from RNAcentral.
GAACGCUGGCGGCAGGCCUAACACAUGCAAGUCGAACGGUAACAGGAAGCAGCUUGCUGCUUGCUGACGAGUGGCGGACGGGUGAGUAAUGUCUGGGAAACUGCCUGAUGGAGGGGGAUAACUACUGGAAACGGUAGCUAAUACCGCAUAACGUCGCAAGACCAAAGAGGGGGACCUUCGGGCCUCUUGCCAUCAGAUGUGCCCAGAUGGGAUUAGCUUGUUGGUGGGGUAACGGCUCACCAAGGCGACGAUCCCUAGCUGGUCUGAGAGGAUGACCAGCCACACUGGAACUGAGACACGGUCCAGACUCCUACGGGAGGCAGCAGUGGGGAAUAUUGCACAAUGGGCGCAAGCCUGAUGCAGCCAUGCCGCGUGUAUGAAGAAGGCCUUCGGGUUGUAAAGUACUUUCAGCGGGGAGGAAGGUGUUGUGGUUAAUAACCACAGCAAUUGACGUUACCCGCAGAAGAAGCACCGGCUAACUCCGUGCCAGCAGCCGC